UACGAAGGGGGCUAGCGUUGCUCGGAAUUACUGGGCGUAAAGCGCACGUAGGCGGAUUGUUAAGUCGGGGGUGAAAUCCUGGAGCUCAACUCCAGAACUGCCUUCGAUACUGGCGAUCUCGAGUUCGGGAGAGGUGAGUGGAACUGCGAGUGUAGAGGUGAAAUUCGUAGAUAUUCGCAAGAACACCAGUGGCGAAGGCGGCUCACUGGUCCGGUACUGACGCUGAGGUGCGAAAGCGUGGGGAGCAAACAGG
RNAcentral lists this ribosomal RNA (253 nucleotides) under uncultured bacterium. Its description in RNAcentral is "partial 16S ribosomal RNA". It matches the Rfam family "Bacterial small subunit ribosomal RNA", at positions 524 to 776 of the family's 1533-position model. The record is from RNAcentral.